GAUGAACGCUAGCGGCAGGCCUAACACAUGCAAGUCGAGAGAGAGGUUACCUUCGGGUAACCAAAACCGGCGCACGGGUGCGUAACGCGUAUACAAUCUGCCUUUCACAUAGGGAUAGCCCGAAGAAAUUUGGAUUAAUACCUAAUGGUAUAUAAGAGCGGCAUCGUUUUUAUAUUAAAGCUACGGUGGUGAAAGAUGAGUAUGCGUUCUAUUAGCUAGUUGGAGAGGUAACGGCUCCCCAAGGCGACGAUAGAUAGGGGUUCUGAGAGGGAUGUCCCCCACACUGGUACUGAGAUACGGACCAGACUCCUACGGGAGGCAGCAGUGAGGAAUAUUGGACAAUGGUCGGAAGACUGAUCCAGCCAUGCCGCGUGCAGGAUGAAGGUCCUAUGGAUUGUAAACUGCUUUUGUAAGGGAAGAAUAAGGAGUACGUGUACUUUGAUGACGGUACCUUACGAAUAAGCAUCGGCUAACUCCGUGCCAGCAGCCGCGGUAAUACGGAGGAUGCGAGCGUUAUCCGGAAUCAUUGGGUUUAAAGGGUCCGUAGGCGGGCUGAUAAGUCAGAGGUGAAAGCGCUUAGCUCAACUAAGCAACUGCCUUUGAAACUGUCAGUCUUGAAUGAUUGUGAAGUAGUUGGAAUGUGUAGUGUAGCGGUGAAAUGCUUAGAUAUUACACAGAACACCGAUAGCGAAGGCAUAUUACUAACAAUUUAUUGACGCUGAUGGACGAAAGCGUGGGGAGCGAACAGG
Molecule: ribosomal RNA, 749 nt
Filed under: uncultured Capnocytophaga sp.
Lineage: Bacteria; Pseudomonadati; Bacteroidota; Flavobacteriia; Flavobacteriales; Flavobacteriaceae
Description: bacterial SSU rRNA
Rfam family: Bacterial small subunit ribosomal RNA
Source: RNAcentral